This 253-nucleotide ribosomal RNA is filed under the name uncultured bacterium. Its description in RNAcentral is "partial 16S ribosomal RNA". It matches the Rfam family "Bacterial small subunit ribosomal RNA", at positions 524 to 776 of the family's 1533-position model. The record is from RNAcentral.
UACAAAGGGGCCUAGCGUUGCUCGGAAUCACUGGGCGUAAAGGGCGCGUAGGCGGACUUUUAAGUCGGGGGUGAAAGCCCAGGGCUCAACCCUGGAAUUGCCUUCGAUACUGGGAGUCUUGAGUUCGGAAGAGGUUGGUGGAACUGCGAGUGUAGAGGUGAAAUUCGUAGAUAUUCUCAAGAACACCGGUGGUGAAGGCGGCCAACUGGUCCGAGACUGACGCUGAGGCGCGAAAGCGUGGGGAGCAAACAGG